This 488-nucleotide ribosomal RNA is filed under the name Salmonella enterica. RNAcentral's name for it is "partial 23S ribosomal RNA". It matches the Rfam family "Bacterial large subunit ribosomal RNA", at positions 137 to 666 of the family's 2925-position model. RNAcentral also lists the same sequence under 2 other names. The record is from RNAcentral. Lineage: Bacteria; Pseudomonadati; Pseudomonadota; Gammaproteobacteria; Enterobacterales; Enterobacteriaceae.
GAUUCGUCACACUAUCAUUAACUGAAUCCAUAGGUUAAUGAGGCGAACCGGGGGAACUGAAACAUCUAAGUACCCCGAGGAAAAGAAAUCAACCGAGAUUCCCCCAGUAGCGGCGAGCGAACGGGGAGGAGCCCAGAGCCUGAAUCAGCAUGUGUGUUAGUGGAAGCGUCUGGAAAGGCGCGCGAUACAGGGUGACAGCCCCGUACACAAAAGCGCAUGUGCUGUGAGCUCGAUGAGUAGGGCGGGACACGUGGUAUCCUGUCUGAAUAUGGGGGGACCAUCCUCCAAGGCUAAAUACUCCUGACUGACCGAUAGUGAACCAGUACCGUGAGGGAAAGGCGAAAAGAACCCCGGCGAGGGGAGUGAAAAAGAACCUGAAACCGUGUACGUACAAGCAGUGGGAGCACCCUUCGGGGUGUGACUGCGUACCUUUUGUAUAAUGGGUCAGCGACUUAUAUUCUGUAGCAAGGUUAACCGUAUAGGGGAGC